ACUCAAAUGAAUAGACGGGGACCCGCACAAGCGGUGGAACAUGUGGUUUAAUUCGAUGCAACGCGCAGAACCUUACCAAGGCUUGACAUGGAGGGCAAAGUUGAAGAAAUUCAAUGGAGGUUAUCCCAACACAGGUGGUGCAUGGCCGUCGUCAGUUCGUGCCGUGAGGUGUAUGGUUAAGUCCUAUAACGAACGCAACCCUUGUGCUUAGUUGCUAACAUUAAGUUGAGAACCCUAAGCAGACUGCCAAGGCAACUUGGAGGAAGGAGAGGACGACGUCUGGUCAUCAUGCCCCUUAUGCCUUGGGCUACACACGUGUUACAAUGGUUAGGACAAAGAGCUGCUAACCCGCGAGGGCAAGCUAAUCUCAAAAAACUAACCUCAGUUCGGAUUGAAGUUUGCAACUCAACUUCAUGAAGUUGGAAUCGCUAGUAAUCGCAGAUCAGCAAUGCUGCGGUGAAUACGUUCUCGGGUCUUGUACACACCGCCCGU
RNAcentral lists this ribosomal RNA (492 nucleotides) under uncultured bacterium. RNAcentral's name for it is "partial 16S ribosomal RNA". It matches the Rfam family "Bacterial small subunit ribosomal RNA", at positions 899 to 1397 of the family's 1533-position model. The record is from RNAcentral.